GCCAGAGUCUUAGCUGCCUGGACUCAGUUCUGUUUGAGAGAUAAGAAGAGUUGCAUCUCUCUUUCAUGAAUCGAACACAAAUCAGGGACAGAGGAUCGAAAGGAUUCAGAUUUAUUGUGUGGAUUCACCUUUUAUGAAACCAUCUUCACAGUGUUUUCUCAUCUGCAUGUUUCUGUAUCUUCCACAGCUUGGUGACUUUGUCUUUACAUGCAGUGUCUACCUCAGCUUUCUUUAGCUCCUCACUCAGCUGUAUUGGUGUGUCCUGGUCUUGCCUUUACCUGGUUUCACACAUGCUGCACAUGGUUGUAUUCCCCUUUAUCAAAUCAGUGUUGCAUGUAUUUUCCUUGCCCAUUGUGAUAGUUUAUGCGACUGUCCUUAGUUUCUCUUUAUAUUUUAUAUUUUAAAUCAAAUAUUUGUAUGAUUUUUUAAAAUUAAAAAUUGGAUUCAACAACGUAAAUGUUCCCAUUUGCUUUAUCAUUCAUGAUGAAAAACAUUAACAAGAUGUGAUAGAUAAAUGUUUGAUGUCCGAGUUCAACCCUCCCGCCUCCCUCCCUCUGAAAACAAACACACAUGUUAAAACACGCUCCAAUUUAAUCUCAUGAGGUUUGAAACUGAAGUCUUCUGCUCUUUUGGAAAUUUUCACCGUCCUUUAGACAAUUAAAAAAUAUCUAAGUGUGUAACUUCUGCAUCUCUCUGCUGGACUUCACUGUCUCUCUGCUUCCUGUUUGUCUCUGCAGACCAGAUAUUCAUCACAGCUGAGUCUGGACAGAAGAAUGUCACUCUGCCAUGUCGAGCUCCAAAUAACAAUAUCAGAAUCAUUGGUGUAGAGCUGAGCAGAGCUGACCACAUGUAUAUGUGCUUUUGUACAGGGAUGAGCUGUUUGAUCCAGACAACCAGCAUCCAUCUUUUAAGAACUGGGUGCAGGACAGACAGAUGAAGGAUGGAGACGUGUCUUUGAUUCUGAAGGAUGUGACGAUUAAUGAUUAAUGAUACUGGAACAUACAAGUGGCAGGUGUUCAUGAGAGGAACAAACAUGAGGAAGAGGAACACGAUUGUAGAUCUGCACAAGGUGGUUUCCACUAUUGUUGUCACUCUCACAAAACUGAUGAGGUCUCCCAGAUUAUCUCCAUUGAAACUAUACAGAGUGCUUUAAAAGAGGUUAUCUAUUCACAUUUAAAUCUAAAUGAAAAUCAUCAAGAGUAAAUCAAAUCAAUAUGAUGGAUAGGAGGCUGAGUAAUGAAAUGGUUCUAAUGUGUGAGUUUUUUGUCCGAGUUUGUGGCCUCCAAGAGAUCCUGCGUCUCGAGAAGAUCCAGAUUCUCUGUGAUGCAGGUGGAGUAAGACACUACAUCAUGGAGUGUAGACUGGAAAACUGGAAAAGUGUGAACUGGAACAGACAGACAAAUGUGAACUUUGAGAAAGAAGUUAUAUUAAGUAUAUUGUCAUAUACAAACACACAGUCAUGAAGUGUAGUAUGUGCAAUUUAAAUUAUGUUAAAAAAUGCAGCAAAUAAACAGAAUGAGAGCAUAUCCAUGUUUAAUUGAGCUGAUGAUAAAUCCUGUUGAAUGACAGAAAUGUUAAUACUCUGUAAAUGUAUAAUCAUGGAUGAGAAUAAUUUACCCAGUGUAUUGAAAUGAUUGUGCCACUUUAACAUUUGCUCUAGUUUGUCCAGGUGAAAAGUUAUAGAGCGAGGGCAACAGGCUCCACAUGACAUGAUAUAGACAUCAUCUGAUCUGGCAGCUUUACAGUGGAACUGCACUGACAUGAUCAUGAACAUGAUGCGUCUUCACGCCUAAAUAUGCUCGCCCUUCUCUCUCUCAUUCCUUCUAAGAUCACUGUUAGAAAUCAGCAUUAGCUCAGAGCAGAUAAGUCAGGUUACAGUAUAUUUCAAGUAAUUUGACAUCUGAUUAUUAUUAUUGGCAAAUUAAGAUAUCCUACAUUAAAAAAUGUCUGAUUUUUGGACUUUCAUUUUUAAUUCUUUGCAAAACACUGAACGUUAAGGUUUAGAAGAGCUUGACAAAACAGUAUUUUUGUAUUAAGCUGUAAACAUGUUUAUUUCUGCUGUUAGUUGUGGGGACUGAGUCACUUUUGGAGCCUCAUGUGGACUUUAAAAGGAACUGCAGCUUGUAGCACUGCUGCCUCAGCUGAUGGUUGCUUCAAACUAACAGUCAGAUUGUAUCAAUGGACCAAAGUUUUAAUGAAGCUUGUAUGUCAAGUAAUUUGUAAUGUGUGGUAAAAGUGCACAGAGAAAAAAAAGAAAACAAGUUUGAACCCAAUCACCAAAUCUUAUAAAAUAUUUACUCCUGAAUAACUCCAUGUAAUCCUUUUCCCCAAGUUUCUCACAACACUUGAUAUUGGGGUUACCCCACCUGUCAAAUCCCACUAGGCUACCAGAUGUUUUUGCCUUUAACUCCCUCUGUGACCUCAGCCACACAGAUGAAGUUCCUGACAAUACAGUUUAUUUUCUAAAACAGCUGAUCUCUGUUUUCUUGAACAAGAAAUAAUAAAAUUCUUGAUCCUUUAUGGAUGUUUUUAUUUAUUUAUUUAUCUUGUAAUGAGUGUUUGUGGCAGCAUGAUUUUGUGUGUAGCAUCUCCAACUGAAAAGAUGGUCUCUUAAACUGAUGCUUCACAAUCCUUUUUUCAAACGGCCGUGUAUGUGAACACACCCGCAGAGCUACAACAAAAGACCAUUAGUAACUCAAGCAGUGUGUUACCUUUUCCCUCAUUUUUAAUCAUAAACAAAUUGUCUUUACCUUAAAUUAUUAGACCUUUCAAUUCUUGACAAUCUUCACAUUGAGUGCUAUUGCCAUACAUAUUUACUAAAUUCUUCCAACCUUAAGCCUUUUACCUUUUCUAUACCACUGAAUAAAAUGCAAUUGUCAAACUUCUUUUGACCUUACAUAGAAUAUAACAGUGAAUCUUGAAAACCUUUGCAUCGCUAAGCUAAAUGUUGU
Oreochromis aureus is the source of this 2951-nucleotide long non-coding RNA. Lineage: Eukaryota; Metazoa; Chordata; Actinopteri; Cichliformes; Cichlidae. The record is from Ensembl.